Molecule: long non-coding RNA, 730 nt
Filed under: Lepidothrix coronata (blue-crowned manakin)
Lineage: Eukaryota; Metazoa; Chordata; Aves; Passeriformes; Pipridae
Description: lncRNA (ENSLCOG00000014094.1)
Source: RNAcentral
CUUGAAGAUUUGCUGCUAAGCCAUUCCAAACCCAAAGCCUAACCAGUUACAUUGAUGAUGCAAAGUCUGAUCCUGCAUAUGGAAAAACUCCACAGACAUCACUGAGAAGUACAACAUGACGAAGGCUGAGUAGCAUUGCCAAAAGCUUGAAGACCUCCCCCAGGGAACACAUCUGGUUUUGUCUGCUUUGGAGAUAAACCAGUCCAGGAGAUAGCCCCAUGUACUGAGGACCACACAGACUCCUUGGCACUGAAUACACAACUUGAAGAACUGUGCCUUAACUGCUCUGUGGAAACCACACUACAGCUAUCAAUCCAGACAUUCUCUCAACCAGGGAAACCUUGUGGAGUUUUUCAUCUUAAGAAAAUACGAUCAGCCUCAAAGAGUAGCAGGAUGCUAUCUGGUACCAAAAUGACACUAAGAAUGACUUUGAAGUCUCUUCUUCAUAAAUAGUCCCCAUGGUUUCAAUGCAAGUUUUUGCCAAGUAAGAAUCUAAAUCCUGUAUGAAAGAGAGUGAUAUAAGUUCUCUUUUGUAUAAAUUGCACCCAGCACAAAGUUUAAAUGCCUGUAAUUUGGUUACCUAGUGUUUCAUGUUCAGGAAUAUGAUCUUUCUGCUUGGAAGGAUAAAAUUCUGAAAUAUGAACAGAGAUAAAAAAGUGAGUUGAAAGCUGAUGCCUGUCUUGUUUGAAUGAACAGCUUCUGGUCAGACAAACUCACGUUACUGCACAUG